GGAGGGGCUUCUCCUGGGGUCACCUUCUCAAGAAUCAGAGAAUCAGAGAAUCACAGUCAGAGAAUCACAGUCAUAGAAUCACAGAAUCACAGAGUCAGAGAAUCACAGUCAGAGAAUCAGAGAAUCACAGAAUCACAGUCACAGAAUCAGAGAAUGACAGAAUCAGAGAAUCACAGUCACAGAAUCACAGAAUCAGUCAAUCACAGAAUCAGAGAAUCACAGUCAUAGAAUCACAGUCAGAGAAUCACAGAAUCAGGGAAUCAGAGAAUCACAGAAUCACAAAAUCACAGAAUCACAAAAUCACAGAAUCAGAGAAUCACAGACUCACAGAAUCAUAGAAUCACAGUCACAGAAUCACAGACUCACAGACACAGUCACAGAAUCACAGAAUCACAGUCAUAGAAUCAGAGAAUCAGAGAAUCACAGACUCACAGACUCUCAGAAUCACAGAAUCAGAGAAUCACAGACUCACAGAAUCACAAUCACAGAAUCAUAGAAUCACAGUCAUAGAAUCAUAGAAUCAGAGAAUCACAGAAUCACAGAAUUACAGAGUCACAGAAUCACGGAAUCACAGAAUCAGAGAAUCACAGAAUCAGAGUCAUAGAAUCAGAGAAUCAGAGAAUCACAGAAUCACAGAACACAGAAUUACAGAAUCACAGUCACAGAAUCAGAGAAUCAGAGAAUCACAGAAUCAGAAUCACAGAAUCACAGUCACAGAAUCAGAGAAUCACAGUCAGAGAAUCACAGUCAGAGAAUCACAGUCAUAGAAUCACAGAAUCACAGUCAUAGAAUCACAGACUCACAGAAUCACAGAAUCACAGUCAUAGAAUCAGAGAAUCAGAGAAUCACAGACUCACAGAAUCACAAAAUCACAGAAUCACAGAAUCACAGUCAUAGAAUCACAGACUCACAGACUCACAGAAUCAGUCAUAGAAUCACAGAAUUAGAGAAUCAGUAUCACAGAAUCAGAGAAUCAGAGAAUCACAGAAUCAGAAUCAUAGAAUCAGAGAAUCAGAGUCAGAGAAUCAGAGAAUCAGAGAAUCACAGAAUCAGAAUCACAGUCAUAGAAUCACAGAAUCACAGAAUCACAGAAUCAGAGAAUCACAGAAUCAGAAUCACAGUCACAGAAUCACAGAAUCAGAGAAUCACAGACUCACAGAAUCACAAUCACAGAAUCAUAGAAUCACAGUCAUAGAAUCAGAAUCAUAGAAUCAGAGAAUCACAGAAUUACAGAGUCACAGAAUCACGGAAUCACAGAAUCAGAGAAUCACAGAAUCACAGUCAGAGAAUCAGAGAAUCACAGAAUCACAGUCAUAGAAUCAGAGAAUCAGAGAAUCAGUCACAGAAUCACAGAAUCAGAGAAUCAGAGAAUCACAGUCAUAGAAUCACAGACGCACAGAAUCAGAGAAUCACAGUCAUAGAAUCAGAGAAUCAGAGAAUCACAAAAUCACAAUCACAGAAUCACAGUCAUAGAAUCAGAGAAUCACAGAAUCAGAGAAUCACAGAAUCACAGACUCACAAUCACAGAAUCAGAGAAUCACAGUCACAAAAUCACAGAAUCAGAGAAUCACAGAAACAGGGAAUCACAGAAUCACAGAAUCAGAGAAUCCCAGAAUCAGCUGGGUUGGGAGGGACCUCUGAGAUCACCCAGUCCAACCCUUGAUCCAACCCCGCCGUGGUUCCCAGCCCAUGGCACUGAUGCCACAUCCAGUCUGUCCUUAAACACCUCCAGGGAUGGAGAAUCCACCCCCUCCCUGGGCAGACCAUUCCAAGGGCUGAGCACCCUCUCUGGAAA
Molecule: long non-coding RNA, 1795 nt
Filed under: Manacus vitellinus (golden-collared manakin)
Lineage: Eukaryota; Metazoa; Chordata; Aves; Passeriformes; Pipridae
Description: lncRNA (ENSMVIG00005001473.1)
Source: RNAcentral